GACGAACGCUGGCGGCGUGCCUAAUACAUGCAAGUUGAGCGCUGAAGGUUGGUACUUGUACCAACUGGAUGAGCAGCGAACGGGUGAGUAACGCGUGGGGAAUCUGCCUUUGAGCGGGGGACAACAUUUGGAAACGAAUGCUAAUACCGCAUAAAAACUUUAAACACAAGUUUUAAGUUUGAAAGAUGCAAUUGCAUCACUCAAAGAUGAUCCCGCGUUGUAUUAGCUAGUUGGUGAGGUAAAGGCUCACCAAGGCGAUGAUACAUAGCCGACCUGAGAGGGGUAUCGGCCACAUUGGGACUGAGACACGGCCCAAACUCCUACGGGAGGCAGCAGUAGGGAAUCUUCGGCAAUAGACGAAAGUCUGACCGAGAAACGCCGCGGGAGUGAAGAAGGGUUUCGGAUCGUAAAACUCGGUUGGUAGAGAAGAACGUUGGUGAGAGUGGAAAGCUCAUCAAGUGACGGUAACUACCCAGAAAGGGACGGCUAACUACGUG
Molecule: ribosomal RNA, 497 nt
Filed under: uncultured bacterium
Lineage: Bacteria
Description: partial 16S ribosomal RNA
Rfam family: Bacterial small subunit ribosomal RNA
Source: RNAcentral